GGGCCUGUAGUCUAAUGGAUAGGACAACCGGCUUCGGACCGGUUAAUCAGGGUUCGAAAAUAGCAAGCAAUCUAUGCAAGUUAGGCGGGCAUACGCUCACUACAUUCGCAUAGCCCCCCACGAGCAGAAUAGUAUAGCUUGUUUUCUUCGAAAGUCCCUGCAGGCUCA
Molecule: transfer RNA, 168 nt
Filed under: Nanobdellota archaeon
Lineage: Archaea; Nanobdellati; Nanobdellota
Description: tRNA-Arg
Source: RNAcentral